GACGAACGCUGGCGGCGUGCUUAACACAUGCAAGUCGAACGGAAAGGCCCUGCUUUUGUGGGGUGCUCGAGUGGCGAACGGGUGAGUAACACGUGAGUAACCUGCCCUUGACUUUGGGAUAACUUCAGGAAACUGGGGCUAAUACCGGAUAGGAGCUCCUGCUGCAUGGUGGGGGUUGGAAAGUUUCGGCGGUUGGGGAUGGACUCGCGGCUUAUCAGCUUGUUGGUGGGGUAGUGGCUUACCAAGGCUUUGACGGGUAGCCGGCCUGAGAGGGUGACCGGCCACAUUGGGACUGAGAUACGGCCCAGACUCCUACUGGAGGCAGCAGUGGGGAAUAUUGCACAAUGGGCGGAAGCCUGAUGCAGCAACGCCGCGUGCGGGAUGACGGCCUUCGGGUUGUAAACCGCUUUCGCCUGUGACGAAACGUGAGUGACGGUAAUGGGUAAAGAAGCACCGGCUAACUACGUG
RNAcentral lists this ribosomal RNA (468 nucleotides) under uncultured bacterium. RNAcentral's name for it is "partial 16S ribosomal RNA". It matches the Rfam family "Bacterial small subunit ribosomal RNA", at positions 28 to 507 of the family's 1533-position model. The record is from RNAcentral.